GUUUCUGUAGUGUAGUGGUUAUCACGUUUGCUUUACAUGCAAAAGGUCGCUAGUUCGAGACAGCAGCA
This 68-nucleotide transfer RNA is filed under the name Poecilia formosa (Amazon molly). It matches the Rfam family "tRNA". Rfam says of the family: Transfer RNA (tRNA) molecules are approximately 80 nucleotides in length. Their secondary structure includes four short double-helical elements and three loops (D, anti-codon, and T loops). Further hydrogen bonds mediate the characteristic L-shaped molecular structure. tRNAs have two regions of fundamental functional importance: the anti-codon, which is responsible for specific mRNA codon recognition, and the 3' end, to which the tRNAs corresponding amino acid is attached (by aminoacyl-tRNA synthetases). tRNAs cope with the degeneracy of the genetic code in two manners: having more than one tRNA (with a specific anti-codon) for a particular amino acid; and 'wobble' base-pairing, i.e. permitting non-standard base-pairing at the 3rd anti-codon position. Lineage: Eukaryota; Metazoa; Chordata; Actinopteri; Cyprinodontiformes; Poeciliidae. The record is from Rfam by way of RNAcentral.